Sander lucioperca (pikeperch) is the source of this 97-nucleotide long non-coding RNA. RefSeq lists it as uncharacterized. The transcript is spliced from 2 exons. NCBI's taxonomy places the organism in Eukaryota, Metazoa, Chordata, Actinopteri, Perciformes, Percidae. The record is from RefSeq and is a predicted model, not a curated record.
AUAGCCCUAUUUUAACGUUCUAAGCGCACAGCGUGAAGCGCCUGGCGCAGGUGCGUUUAGGGCGUGUCCAAAUCCACUUUUGCUAUUUUAACGGCGG